UACGUAGGGGGCGAGCGUUGUCCGGAAUCAUUGGGCGUAAAGAGCGUGUAGGCGGCUUGGCAAGUCUGACGUGAAAGCCCGCGGCUCAACCGCGGAUUGUCGUUGGAAACUGCCUCGCUAGAGUCCGGAAGAGGAGAGCGGAAUUCCUGGUGUAGCGGUGAAAUGCGCAGAUAUCAGGAAGAACACCCGUGGCGAAAGCGGCUCUCUGGGACGGUACUGACGCUGAGACGCGAAAGCGUGGGGAGCGAACAGG
This 253-nucleotide ribosomal RNA is filed under the name uncultured bacterium. Its description in RNAcentral is "partial 16S ribosomal RNA". It matches the Rfam family "Bacterial small subunit ribosomal RNA", at positions 524 to 776 of the family's 1533-position model. The record is from RNAcentral.